AACUGCGAAUGGCUCAUUAAAUCAGUUAUCGUUUAUUUGAUAGUACCUUACUACUUGGAUAACCGUGGUAAUUCUAGAGCUAAUACAUGCUGAAAACCCCAACUUCGGGAGGGGUGUAUUUAUUAGAUAAAAAACCAACGCCCUUCGGGGCUUCUUGGUGAUUCAUGAUAACUUUACGGAUCGCAUGGCCUUGCGCCGGCGACGGUUCAUUCAAAUUUCUGCCCUAUCAACUUUCGAUGGUAAGGUAUUGGCUUACCAUGGUUUCAACGGGUAACGGGGAAUUAGGGUUCGAUUCCGGAGAGGGAGCCUGAGAAACGGCUACCACAUCCAAGGAAGGCAGCAGGCGCGCAAAUUACCCAAUCCCGACACGGGGAGGUAGUGACAAUAAAUACUGAUACAGGGCUCUUUUGGGUCUUGUAAUUGGAAUGAGUACAAUUUAAACCUCUUAACGAGGAACAAUUGGAGGGCAAGUCUGGUGCCAGCAGCCGCGGUAAUUCCAGCUCCAAUAGCGUAUAUUAAAGUUGUUGCAGUUAAAAAGCUCGUAGUUGAACCUUGGGUCUGGCUGGCAGGUCCGCCUCACCGCGUGUACUUGUCCGGCCGGGCCUUCCUUCUGGAGAACCUCAUGCCCUUCACUGGGCGUGUUGGGGACCAGGACUUUUACUUUGAAAAAAUUAGAGUGUUCAAAGCAGGCCUUUGCUCGAAUACGUUAGCAUGGAAUAAUAGAAUAGGACGUGCGGUCCUAUUUUGUUGGUUUCUAGGACCGCCGUAAUGAUUAAUAGGGACAGUCGGGGGCAUCAGUAUUCAAUUGUCAGAGGUGAAAUUCUUGGAUUUAUUGAAGACUAACUACUGCGAAAGCAUUUGCCAAGGAUGUUUUCAUUAAUCAGUGAACGAAAGUUAGGGGAUCGAAGACGAUCAGAUACCGUCGUAGUCUUAACCGUAAACUAUGCCGA
Molecule: ribosomal RNA, 950 nt
Filed under: Phaeosphaeriaceae sp.
Lineage: Eukaryota; Fungi; Ascomycota; Dothideomycetes; Pleosporales; Phaeosphaeriaceae
Description: SSU rRNA
Rfam family: Eukaryotic small subunit ribosomal RNA
Source: RNAcentral